Molecule: ribosomal RNA, 427 nt
Filed under: uncultured bacterium
Lineage: Bacteria
Description: bacterial SSU rRNA
Rfam family: Bacterial small subunit ribosomal RNA
Source: RNAcentral
UAGGGAAUAUUGGACAAUGGGGGCAACCCUGAUCCAGCCAUGCCGCGUGAGUGAAGAAGGCCCUCGGGUUGUAAAGCUCUUUUGUCCGGAAAGAAAAGCAUUCGGUGAAUACCCGGAUGUUCUGACGGUACCGGAAGAAUAAGCACCGGCUAACUUCGUGCCAGCAGCCGCGGUAAUACGAAGGGUGCAAGCGUUACUCGGAAUUACUGGGCGUAAAGCGUGCGUAGGUGGUUGUUUAAGUCUGAUGUGAAAGCCCUGGGCUCAACCUGUGAAUGGCAUUGGAAACUAGGCAGCUAGAGUGCAGUAGAGGGUAGUGGAAUUCCGGGUGUAGCAGUGAAAUGCGUAGAGAUCGGGAGGAACAUCUGUGGCGAAGGCGAAUGCCUGGACCAGCACUGACACUGAGGCACGAAAGCGUGGGGAGCAAACA